Molecule: ribosomal RNA, 434 nt
Filed under: Salmonella enterica subsp. enterica serovar Worthington
Lineage: Bacteria; Pseudomonadati; Pseudomonadota; Gammaproteobacteria; Enterobacterales; Enterobacteriaceae
Description: bacterial LSU rRNA
Rfam family: Bacterial large subunit ribosomal RNA
Source: RNAcentral
GGCGAUACCCGAAUGGGGAAACCCAGUGUGAUUCGUCACACUAUCAUUAACUGAAUCCAUAGGUUAAUGAGGCGAACCGGGGGAACUGAAACAUCUAAGUACCCCGAGGAAAAGAAAUCAACCGAGAUUCCCCCAGUAGCGGCGAGCGAACGGGGAGGAGCCCAGAGCCUGAAUCAGCAUGUGUGUUAGUGGAAGCGUCUGGAAAGGCGCGCGAUACAGGGUGACAGCCCCGUACACAAAAGCGCAUGUGCUGUGAGCUCGAUGAGUAGGGCGGGACACGUGGUAUCCUGUCUGAAUAUGGGGGGACCAUCCUCCAAGGCUAAAUACUCCUGACUGACCGAUAGUGAACCAGUACCGUGAGGGAAAGGCGAAAAGAACCCCGGCGAGGGGAGUGAAAAAGAACCUGAAACCGUGUACGUACAAGCAGUGGGAGC